Molecule: ribosomal RNA, 497 nt
Filed under: uncultured bacterium
Lineage: Bacteria
Description: partial 16S ribosomal RNA
Rfam family: Bacterial small subunit ribosomal RNA
Source: RNAcentral
ACUCAAAUGAAUUGACGGGGGCCCGCACAAGCGGUGGAUGAUGUGGAUUAAUUCGAUGCAACGCGAAAAACCUUACCUGGUCUUGACAUGUCUAGAAUCCCUUAGAGAUAGGGGAGUGCCGCAAGGAACUAGAACACAGGUGCUGCAUGGCUGUCGUCAGCUCGUGUCGUGAGAUGUUGGGUUAAGUCCCGCAACGAGCGCAACCCUUGCCAUUAGUUGCUACCAUUCAGUUGAGCACUUUAAUGGGACUGCCGGUGACAAACCGGAGGAAGGUGGGGAUGACGUCAAGUCCUCAUGGCCCUUAUGACCAGGGCUUCACACGUCAUACAAUGGUCGGUACAGAGGGUCGCCAACCCGCGAGGGGGAGCCAAUCUCAUAAAACCGAUCGUAGUCCGGAUUGCACUCUGCAACUCGAGUGCAUGAAGUCGGAAUCGCUAGUAAUCGCGGAUCAGCAUGUCGCGGUGAAUACGUUCCCGGGCCUUGUACACACCGCCCGU